UUAAAUCAAAUUUGUAUGGAGUUGGAACGUUUCGCUACGUUUUCCACUAGGGGCGCUGUUCCAACUGCAAUAUAAGUUUGAGUUA
RNAcentral lists this microRNA precursor (85 nucleotides) under Bombyx mori (domestic silkworm). RNAcentral describes it as "mir-2807 microRNA precursor family". It matches the Rfam family "mir-2807 microRNA precursor family". Lineage: Eukaryota; Metazoa; Arthropoda; Insecta; Lepidoptera; Bombycidae. The record is from Rfam by way of RNAcentral.